Molecule: long non-coding RNA, 732 nt
Organism: Drosophila pseudoobscura
Lineage: Eukaryota; Metazoa; Arthropoda; Insecta; Diptera; Drosophilidae
Exons: 4
Source: RefSeq, a predicted model, not a curated record
GUCACAUCCGUCUCAGAAGGCCGAAAACCAGCAAACAUUUUGUUUUUUGAAUCUACAACUCAAAUACCUAUGUUAUUGGAAAUAUCAGCAAGACUACUCCAGGAAUAUUUAUGUAGCAGCGUUUAUCCUCCCGGUUGUGUAGUGUUGUGUAACGCGUGCCCCAGUACCUAACCGGUUCACUAAUUUGCUGCUGUUCGACCACACACUGCUGCACUGGUUCCAGAAAGGCCAAAGUUCAGAAAGCGCUGUGACCGUGGGUUCGCGAUGGCGGGAUCGUCUUCGGAGUGGCCCACAUCUAUCUGCACAUCUGCAUGGCUUGUUCCUCAUUGUAUCGGCUCUGAAACGCACUUUGGGGCAUUUCGACUUUCAAUGCUUCAAAAAUCAUUAAUCACGUUUUGGCAAUACAAAAAAGGCGUCACGCUCGAACUAACAUACAUGAAUACAUCUUAUUAGAAUACCAUGCCCAUGCCUCACCCUAUAUAAAUAUACCUUGCGCAAGUCUCAUUGCUGCCGAUCAUCACAUUGUCGUACUCCGCCAGUGGGUGGACGGUGGACGGUGGACGUUGGACUGUGGGUGGUGGGCGGUGGGCGGUGACAGGGGCUGUGAAUGAAAUGCGAAUGGGAUCCAAUUUACUAUAAAUUUUACUACGUUCCUGUUGCCAGCGCACGACGCUUCUGCGCAGUGGCUCACAGCAUCCACCAGGAUACAGGAUGGUGUAUGGUAUCCAUGUU